RNAcentral lists this small RNA (1186 nucleotides) under Drosophila ananassae. Its description in RNAcentral is "GF28199". The record is from RNAcentral. Lineage: Eukaryota; Metazoa; Arthropoda; Insecta; Diptera; Drosophilidae.
UUGAAGAAAUUUCUCAUAAUUUCAGAAAUAGUCUGUUACUUAGAAAACAUAAAUCUGUCCGCGGCUUAUCAAAACAUAUUUGUAAAGAAUAUUUUUCGAUUUUGUUGGAAGUUCAAUAAACCCGAGUGGCGCGGACCCCCGGGACCCGCUCUCCACUAUCGGACUAUCAGGCCAAAUUAAAACAUAGCGCUUGUAAUUGGGCAUAAAAAGGAUAACAUCGCUGACAGCCAUCCGAGCCUUAUCAGGGAGUUCGGGGAGUACUACAAGUACUGGAAGGCCUUCCCCAACUCCAAAUGCCAUUGAGGCUGUCGUCUCCAUCUAAUCGGGAGGCAUAACGCUUGAGUAGCCCCAAAACGCUUAUCGCCGCCACUCGAUUCACUCGCACAAAAGACGUGUAAUUAUUAUGCGGCGGUUAGGGAGAGAUAACCCUUACUAAGCGGCCCCGUCACCCCACACGAAACCCAGACUCGCGUUCUGUCCCAGAGCCGGCAAGAUUUAUGGACCAGCUCUGACAAUUAGCGCUGAUAACUUUCGGUUUUAUUCCGAUUCGAUGUGCUUCGGCUUUUGGGUUCCUUCUCUAGGUUUUCCAAAUUGAAAUUGGCUGUCUAAUUUGUUGAGUUAUGGCGCCAAGUUCAGACCGCCAAUGUAAUUAUUAAAUACGAAGGAAAUUACUCAUGCAUAGGAAAAUAUGAACCUCUUCUCCAGAAGGCAGCUGUCGUCUCAGAGGAAAGGCGUGUCUCUGACUUUGCCCAAACAUUAACCGGUAGUUAGUCCGAUUAGAGAAAGGUUCUCCAGUGGUAAAUAUUGUGCCACUCAGACGGCUUUCUCCGCGAAGCGUGCUCAGAAAGCCGCACAACCAUAACUGGCGCCAGAGGUGGACACUUGUCGCACAUUCCGCCACGGUCGCUUUCUUUGAGGAUCUUCUUACAGCUGAAGAAUGGAAGAGAAAUGCUUUCUUUAGGGGGAGUUGUCCUGCCAUGGCACGGCUCAUUAACAUCGCUCAUAUUCUUCACGCCAACAGCAAGGAUUGUAAUGGUGUCUAAUGAACAAAAGGAUUGUCUUCGAAUGAGGUCUGAGAUGUAUGUAUUUUAGGGAGUAGCUCAACUAUUCCCCAAUAAUACAUAUGUAUAUACACUAUCCGAUAAUUAACCCCUGUUAAUAAAUUCAUCUUUAAUCUACUAUGACA